AUUGAACGCUGGCGGCAGGCCUAACACAUGCAAGUCGAACGAGUGGCGGACGGGUGAGUAAUGUCUGGGAAACUGCCUGAUGGUGGGGGAUAACUACUGGACACGGUAGCUAAUACCGCAUACCAUCAGAUGUGCCCAGAUGGGAUUAGAUAGUUGGUGGGUGAACGGCUCACCAAGGCGACGAUCCCUAGCUGGUCUGAGAGGAUGACCAGCCACACUGGAACUGAGAUACGGCCCAGACUCAUACGGGAGGCGAGGGUGGGGAAAAUUGCAUAAUGGACGCAAGGCUGAUGCAGCCAUGCCGAGUGUAUGAAGAAGGCCAUCGGGUUGUAAAGUACUUCCAGCUGGAUGGCGUUACCCGAAGAAGAAGCAUCGGCUAACUCCGUGCCAGCAGCCGCGGUAAUAC
RNAcentral lists this ribosomal RNA (406 nucleotides) under uncultured bacterium. RNAcentral's name for it is "partial 16S ribosomal RNA". It matches the Rfam family "Bacterial small subunit ribosomal RNA", at positions 30 to 526 of the family's 1533-position model. The record is from RNAcentral.